Molecule: ribosomal RNA, 540 nt
Filed under: uncultured bacterium
Lineage: Bacteria
Description: partial 16S ribosomal RNA
Rfam family: Bacterial small subunit ribosomal RNA
Source: RNAcentral
UGGGGAAUAUUGCGCAAUGGGCGAAAGCCUGAUGCAGCAACGCCGCGUGAGUGAUGAAGGUCUUCGGAUUGUAAAGCUCUGUCUUUUGGGACGAUAAUGACGGUACCAAAGGAGGAAGCCACGGCUAACUACGUGCCAGCAGCCGCGGUAAUACGUAGGUGGCGAGCGUUGUCCGGAUUUACUGGGCGUAAAGGGUGCGUAGGCGGAUGUUUAAGUGAGAUGUGAAAUACCCGGGCUUAACUUGGGUGCUGCAUUUCAAACUGGAUAUCUAGAGUGCAGGAGAGGAGAAUGGAAUUCCUAGUGUAGCGGUGAAAUGCGUAGAGAUUAGGAAGAACACCAGUGGCGAAGGCGAUUCUCUGGACUGUAACUGACGCUGAGGCACGAAAGCGUGGGUAGCAAACAGGAUUAGAUACCCUGGUAGUCCACGCCGUAAACGAUGAGUACUAGGUGUAGGAGGUAUCGACCCCUUCUGUGCCGCAGUAAACACAUUAAGUACUCCGCCUGGGAAGUACGAUCGCAAGAUUAAAACUCUAAAGUGAA